This 474-nucleotide ribosomal RNA is filed under the name uncultured bacterium. RNAcentral's name for it is "bacterial SSU rRNA". It matches the Rfam family "Bacterial small subunit ribosomal RNA", at positions 355 to 825 of the family's 1533-position model. The record is from RNAcentral.
UGGGGAAUAUUGCGCAAUGGGCGAAAGCCUGACGCAGCAACGCCGCGUGAGUGAUGAAGGCCUUCGGGUCGUAAAACUCUGUCGGAGGGAACGAAUGCUCCUGAAGUUAACAGCCUCAGGAGGUGACGGUACCCUCAAAGGAAGCACCGGCUAACUACGUGCCAGCAGCCGCGGUAAUACGUAGGGACCAAGCGUUGUUCGGAUUUACUGGGCGUAAAGGGCGCGUAGGCGGCAAUUCAAGUCAUCUGUGAAAUCUCCGGGCUUAACUCGGAACGGUCAGAUGAUACUGCUUUGCUAGAGUGCAGAAGGGGCAAUCGGAAUUCUUAGUGUAGCGGUGAAAUGCGUAGAUAUCAAGAGGAACACCUGAGGUGAAGACGGGUUGCUGGGCUGACACUGACGCUGAGGCGCGAAAGCCAGGGGAGCAAACGGGGAUUAGAUACCCAGGUAGUCCCUGAGCGGGCUGGCAAGGCGCAU